Molecule: ribosomal RNA, 469 nt
Filed under: uncultured bacterium
Lineage: Bacteria
Description: partial 16S ribosomal RNA
Rfam family: Bacterial small subunit ribosomal RNA
Source: RNAcentral
GACGAACGCUGGCGGCGUGCUUAACACAUGCAAGUCGAACGGAAAGGCCCUGCUUGCAGGGUGCUCGAGUGGCGAACGGGUGAGUAACACGUGGGUGAUCUGCCCCUUACUUUGGGAUAAGCCUGGGAAACUGGGUCUAAUACUGGAUAGGACCAUGCUGUAGGUGGUGUGGUGGAAAGAUUAGUUUCGGUAAGGGAUGAGCUCGCGGCCUAUCAGCUUGUUGGUGGGGUAAUGGCCUACCAAGGCGUCGACGAGUAGCCGGCCUGAGAGGGUGGACGGCCACUUUGGGACUGAGAUACGGCCCAGACUCCUACGGGAGGCAGCAGUGGGGAAUAUUGCACAAUGGGCGCAAGCCUGAUGCAGCGACGCCGCGUGGGGGAUGACGGCCUUCGGGUUGUAAACUCCUUUCAGCCAUGGCGAAGCCCUUGUGGUGACGGUAGUGGGAGAAGAAGCACCGGCUAACUACGUG